UGGCGACGGGUGAGUAACGCGUGGAAAACCUGCCGUAUACUGGGGGAUAACACUUAGAAAUAGGUGCUAAUACCGCAUAAGCGCACAGCUUCGCAUGAAGCGGUGUGAAAAACUCUGGUGGUAUACGAUGGUUCCGCGUCUGAUUAGCUAGUUGGUGGGGUAAUGGCCUACCAAGGCAACGAUCAGUAGCCGGCCUGAGAGGGUGAACGGCCACAUUGGGACUGAGACACGGCCCAAACUCCUACGGAAGGCAGCAG
This 257-nucleotide ribosomal RNA is filed under the name uncultured bacterium. Its description in RNAcentral is "partial 16S ribosomal RNA". It matches the Rfam family "Bacterial small subunit ribosomal RNA", at positions 96 to 354 of the family's 1533-position model. The record is from RNAcentral.